CCUACGGGAGGCAGCAGUGAGGAAUAUUGGUCAUUGGACGAGAGUCUGAACCAGCCAAGUAGCGUGAAGGAUGACUGCCCUAUGGGUUGUAAACUUCUUUUAUAUGGGAAUAAAAUGUUCCACGUGUGGGAUUUUGUAUGUACCAUAUGAAUAAGGAUCGGCUAACUCCGUGCCAGCAGCCGCGGUAAUACGGAGGAUCCGAGCGUUAUCCGGAUUUAUUGGGUUUAAAGGGAGCGUAGGUGGAUUGUUAAGUCAGUUGUGAAAGUUUGCGGCUCAACCGUAAAAUUGCAGUUGAAACUGGCAGUCUUGAGUACAGUAGAGGUGGGCGGAAGUCGUGGUGUAGCGGUGAAAUGCUUAGAUAUCACGAAGAACUCCGAUUGCGAAGGCAGUUCACUGGACUGCAACUGACACUGAGGCUCGAAAGUGUGGGUAUCAAACAGGAUUAGAUACCCUUGUAGUC
This 460-nucleotide ribosomal RNA is filed under the name uncultured bacterium. RNAcentral describes it as "partial 16S ribosomal RNA". It matches the Rfam family "Bacterial small subunit ribosomal RNA", at positions 338 to 795 of the family's 1533-position model. The record is from RNAcentral.